Ameiurus melas (black bullhead) is the source of this 69-nucleotide non-coding RNA. The record is from the annotation of a GenBank genome assembly. Lineage: Eukaryota; Metazoa; Chordata; Actinopteri; Siluriformes; Ictaluridae.
GCACAGUUGUUUAAUGGUUAGAACUUUUGUCUCACACCUCGAGGGUUGGGGGUUUGAAUCCCUCCUCCA